RNAcentral lists this ribosomal RNA (489 nucleotides) under uncultured bacterium. RNAcentral describes it as "partial 16S ribosomal RNA". It matches the Rfam family "Bacterial small subunit ribosomal RNA", at positions 28 to 507 of the family's 1533-position model. The record is from RNAcentral.
GACGAACGCUGGCGGCGUGCUUAACACAUGCAAGUCGAACGGUGAAGGGAUCAGCUUGCUGGUUCUGGAUGAGUGGCGAACGGGUGAGUAACACGUGAGUAACCUGCCCCCUUCUUCUGGAUAACCGCAUGAAAGUGUGGCUAAUACGGGAUAUUCUGGGUCUGUCGCAUGAUGGGUCGGGGAAAGAGAUUGUUUCGGUGGGGGAUGGGCUCGCGGCCUAUCAGCUUGUUGGUGGGGUGCUGGCCUACCAAGGCGGGGACGGGUAGCCGGCCGGAGAGGGGGGGCGGUCACACUGGGACUGGGCCACGGCCCAGAGUCAUACGGGAGGCAGCAGUGGGGGAUAUUGCACAGUGGGCGAAAGCCUGAUGCAGCGACGCCGCGUGAGGGAUGGAGGCCUUCGGGUUGUAAACCUCUUUCGCCAGUGAAGCAGGCCUGCUCCUUGUGGGUGGGUUGACGGUAGCUGGAUAAGAAGCGCCGGCUAACUACGUG